GUGGCCUGAGGUCUGAUGUCACCUCUCUGUUGAGAUCUGUUAAAAUCGCUGCAACGGAAUUAUUAGCGUGGGACAAACCAAGAGGGGGGUGAAUUGGUUAUAUACUUUUAUCGUGCCUUUUAUUAUUUUUCUCUUAAUUUUUCUUACUAAGCUGAUAAUAAAAUGUAAACAAGAGAGUAAGGGAAAGAGAAAAAUGCACAGGUGAUUUUAUCCUGGUUCAGAUCACAAGGAUCCUACGUCCAGUCGCUUAUCUCAAACAAGAUAAACCUUUUUCACUAUCACAAAACAAU
RNAcentral lists this long non-coding RNA (290 nucleotides) under Vigna radiata. RNAcentral describes it as "long non-coding RNA (VRAD_LNC008439)". Lineage: Eukaryota; Viridiplantae; Streptophyta; Magnoliopsida; Fabales; Fabaceae. The record is from RNAcentral.